Molecule: ribosomal RNA, 465 nt
Filed under: uncultured bacterium
Lineage: Bacteria
Description: partial 16S ribosomal RNA
Rfam family: Bacterial small subunit ribosomal RNA
Source: RNAcentral
CCUACGGGAGGCAGCAGUGGGGAAUAUUGCGCAAUGGGCGAAAGCCUGACGCAGCGACGCCGCGUGAGGGAUGAAGGUCUUCGGAUCGUAAACCUCUGUCAGCAGGGAAGAACGGUCACUGUGCUAAUCAGCAGUGCAUUGACGGUACCUGCAAAGGCAGCACCGGCUAACUCCGUGCCAGCAGCCGCGGUAAUACGGAGGGUGCGCGCGUUAAUCGGAAUUACUGGGCGUAAAGCGCUCGUAGGCGGUAUGUCAAGUCAAGGGUGAAAUCCCCGCGCUCAACGUGGGAACUGCCUUUGAAACUGGCAAACUGGAGUGUGUGAGAGGAUAGUGGAAUUCCAGGGGUAGGAGUGAAAUCCGUAGAUAUCUGGAGGAACAUCAGUGGCGAAGGCGACUAUCUGGCACAUAACUGACGCUGAGGAGCGAAAGCGUGGGUAGCAAACAGGAUUAGAUACCCCUGUAGUC